RNAcentral lists this ribosomal RNA (420 nucleotides) under Fusobacteriota bacterium. RNAcentral describes it as "Fusobacteria bacterium partial 16S ribosomal RNA". It matches the Rfam family "Bacterial small subunit ribosomal RNA", at positions 355 to 776 of the family's 1533-position model. Lineage: Bacteria; Fusobacteriati; Fusobacteriota. The record is from RNAcentral.
UGGGGGAUAUUGCACAAUGGGCGAAAGCCUGAUGCAGCGACGCCGCGUGGGGGAUGAAGGCCUUCGGGUUGUAAACUUCUUUUGCUCUGAACAAGGCAUGCCUUUGGGGUGUGUUGAGUGUAGGGGUUGAUUAGCGCCGGCUAACUACGUGCCAGCAGCCGCGGUAAUACGUAGGGCGCGAGCGUUGUCCGGAAUUAUUGGGCGUAAAGGGCUUGUAGGUGGCUGGUUGCGUCUGUCGUGAAAGCUCAUGGCUUAACUGUGGGUUUGCGGUGGGUACGGGCUGGCUUGAGUGCAGGAGGGGAGGCUGGAAUUCCUGGUGUAGCGGUGGAAUGCGCAGAUAUCAGGAGGAAUACCGGUGGCGAAGGCGGGUCUCUGGGCUGUUACUGACGCUGAGGAGCGAAAGCGUGGGGAGCGAACAGG